Molecule: ribosomal RNA, 513 nt
Filed under: uncultured bacterium
Lineage: Bacteria
Description: bacterial SSU rRNA
Rfam family: Bacterial small subunit ribosomal RNA
Source: RNAcentral
GAAUGAUGUGGAGACAUGUCAGCCGCAAGGCAGUUGUGAAGGUGCUGCAUGGUUGUCGUCAGCUCGUGCCGUGAGGUGUCGGCUUAAGUGCCAUAACGAGCGCAACCCUUAUCGAUAGUUACCAUCAGGUUAUGCUGGGGACUCUGUCGAGACUGCCGUCGUAAGAUGUGAGGAAGGUGGGGAUGACGUCAAAUCAGCACGGCCCUUACGUCCGGGGCUACACACGUGUUACAAUGGGGGGUACAGAAGGCAGCUACACGGCGACGUGAUGCUAAUCCCGAAAGCCUCUCUCAGUUCGGAUUGGAGUCUGCAACCCGACUCCAUGAAGCUGGAUUCGCUAGUAAUCGCGCAUCAGCCACGGCGCGGUGAAUACGUUCCCGGGCCUUGUACACACCGCCCGUCAAGCCAUGAAAGCCGGGGGUACCUGAAGUGCGUAACCGCAAGGAGCGCCCUAGGGUAAAACUGGUGAUUGGGGCUAAGUCGUAACAAGGUAGCCGUACCGGAAGGUGCGGC